CAAGCCAUCAAAGACAGCAAACUGCAUAUUAGCAUGAGCAAUAUUAGCCAGGUACAGCCACAGCUGCUACAUAUAGCUCUUCUUUCAUUACAGCCUCACUAGAUAAUCUACUUUCUGGGGUAGGGACAGUAAACUUCCUUUGCAGCUCUCCAGCAGCACAUGUCCUCUUUAUCUUGGUGACCUAGUUAUUAGAGCCUGUGCUUGAAAGGUGGGUGAUUAUCACAUGUUCCUCGUUAGCUUGAGGAAUACCCAAAGGCAUGAGCAAGUGCAGAAUGCUGCUCUCUACCUUUUCAAGUCCUGCCAGUAGCUAAAGGGGGUGGCCAUCGGAUAACGCCUAGGGUUGGACCUGGGAGGCUCUUCUGUCUGCAGAGCCCAUCCUGGGCUGGGUUUCCAUUACUUCAGACAAUCUGUGCUACUCCACCUUCCUCUGGCAAAACCUCCAGAACAGCCAUGAAAAGUCAAAUAGGAGAAAACAAUCUCGGAGGCCAUGCUGCUUCUUUCUGCCCAGGUUGGCCUUGGAUUCUGGCCAGCCUGGGCUUUGUACAUAAAAUGCUUGCGUUAUGCUGUUUUCUGUUUUGCUUUUGCACAUUGAACAUUAUGAUGGUGGUGGUUUUAAUAUAGAAGAUUAAGCAUAUUCCUAGGAAUAGGCUCAGUCAUCUUCAAAAUCUCAGUGCCGAGAGGGUUUGAAGUCAGUGGAGGACAUGUCAAAUGCUCAAGAUUUAUGAGAACUCUGCAAUUUAUUUCUGAAAGUAGGAAAUAAAUCUUGACUCUUGGAAAAAAAAUUACUUAGCUACUCUUCCGAAAGAAGGAUUGAAUUAACGAUGUGAAAAGGCUUGAGCCCUGCCGUUCCUGUGUGCACAGCUAACACUUUGCUGCAAAUUGAGGCGAUCUUAAUCUUGGCCAGUGGAGGAGUGAUGUGAGAGAACUGUGCUCCUUACGCAGGAAUUUGCAUCAAAUUGAUCUGCCCAACAUUUAGAAACUCCUUGUUGGGGGUUUGGCAUUGGAAACUAUUGGUGAGACUCAGCACUGAGCAGCAGAGAAGUAAACUGGAGGGGCUUAGGAAAAUGUAGAUGUAUGUCUGGAUCCAGUGGGGAGGAACUUGCAGCAGCUCACGAUAUCCUAGAAAUAAAUGCACAGAAAUGGCAGUGUGGCUGUAUCCUAACGUCAUUAAGGACUCCAGUUAAUCAAAUACUGUUGCUGUUAUCUAGGAAAUGGUGACUGGCAGGAGGGGGACACUGUUGGGUGGAUGAAGGGCCGGCUUCAAGGGAGGUUUACAGUGUGAGAGACUGUUCGCAGAGGCCAUGGAUAACUGGAUUAAAGAGGUGAUAAUGGGUGC
Strigops habroptila (Kakapo) is the source of this 1336-nucleotide long non-coding RNA. RefSeq lists it as uncharacterized. The record is from RefSeq and is a predicted model, not a curated record. Lineage: Eukaryota; Metazoa; Chordata; Aves; Psittaciformes; Psittacidae. The transcript is spliced from 2 exons.